ACGUAGGGAGCAAGCGUUGUCCGGAAUUACUGGGCGUAAAGGGCGCGUAGGCGGGAUAUUAAGUUAGGUGUGAAAACUCCGGGCUCAACUUGGAGACUGCACUUAAAACUGGUAUUCUUGAGGACAGGAGAGGAAAGUGGAAUUCCUAGUGUAGCGGUGAAAUGCGUAGAUAUUAGGAGGAACACCAGUGGCGAAGGCGGCCACCUGGCCGGCAACUGACGCUGAGGUGCGAAAGCGUGGGGAUCAAACAG
This 251-nucleotide ribosomal RNA is filed under the name uncultured prokaryote. Its description in RNAcentral is "partial 16S rRNA". It matches the Rfam family "Bacterial small subunit ribosomal RNA", at positions 525 to 775 of the family's 1533-position model. The record is from RNAcentral.